RNAcentral lists this ribosomal RNA (253 nucleotides) under uncultured bacterium. Its description in RNAcentral is "partial 16S ribosomal RNA". It matches the Rfam family "Bacterial small subunit ribosomal RNA", at positions 524 to 776 of the family's 1533-position model. The record is from RNAcentral.
UACGAAGGGGGCUAGCGUUGUUCGGAUUUACUGGGCGUAAAGCGCACGUAGGCGGAUUGUUAAGUCGGGGGUGAAAUCCUGGAGCUCAACUCCAGAACUGCCUUCGAUACUGGCAAUCUUGAGUCCGGAAGAGGUGAGUGGAACUCCUAGUGUAGAGGUGGAAUUCGUAGAUAUUAGGAAGAACACCAGUGGCGAAGGCGGCUCACUGGUCCGGUACUGACGCUGAGGUGCGAAAGCGUGGGGAGCAAACAGG